RNAcentral lists this ribosomal RNA (927 nucleotides) under Dorylaimoides limnophilus. RNAcentral describes it as "bacterial SSU rRNA". It matches the Rfam family "Eukaryotic small subunit ribosomal RNA", at positions 39 to 966 of the family's 1831-position model. Lineage: Eukaryota; Metazoa; Nematoda; Enoplea; Dorylaimida; Mydonomidae. The record is from RNAcentral.
AAAGAUUAAGCCAUGCAUGUCUAAGCACAUGCCUUAAUACGGUGAAGCCGCGAAUAGCUCAUUACAACACCCACCGUUUACUAGAAUAUAGUUAUCCUACUCGGAUAACUGUGGCAAUUCUAGAGCUAAUACAUGCAAAAAAGCUCUGCCCGCAAGGAACGAGCGCAUUUAUUAGAAUAAAAACCAAUCGGGUUUCGGCCCGUAAUUUGGUGAAUCUGAAUAACUUUGCCAAUCGCACAGUCCUAGUACUGGCGAUGUAUCUUUCAAGUGUCUGCCUUAUCAACUUUCGAUGGCAGGUUAUACGCCUACCAUGGUAGUAACGGGUAACGGAGAAUAAGGGUUCGACUCCGGAGAGGGAGCCUGAGAAACGGCUACCACAUCCAAGGAAGGCAGCAGGCGCGCAAAUUACCCACUCCUGAUUCGGGGAGGUAGUGACGAAAAAUAACAAUACGGGACUCAUUCGAGGCCCCGUAAUUGGAAUGAGAACACUUUAAAUCCUUUAGCGAGGAUCCAUUGGAGGGCAAGUCUGGUGCCAGCAGCCGCGGUAAUUCCAGCUCCAAUAGCGUAUAUUAAAGUUGUUGCAGUUAAAAAGCUCGUAGUUGGAUCUCGGGUCCGAGCUGGCGGUUCGUUUCGCGACGACACUGCCCAUCCCGGACCUACCUGCCGGUCGUCUCGUCGUGCUCUUCGCUGAGUGCGUCGAGUGGCUGGAACGUUUACUUUGAAAAAAUUAGAGUGCUUAAAGCAGGCGAAAUAGCCUGAAUAAGGUGCAUGGAGUAAUGGAAUAGGACCUCGGUUCUAUUUUGUUGGUUUUCGGAACCCGAGGUAAUGAUUAAGAGGAACAGACGGGGGCAUUCGUAUUCCGGCGCUAGAGGUGAAAUUCUUGGACCGCCGGAAGACGGACGACUGCGAAAGCAUUUGCCAAGAAUG